RNAcentral lists this small RNA (476 nucleotides) under uncultured Glomus. Its description in RNAcentral is "SSU rRNA". It matches the Rfam family "Eukaryotic small subunit ribosomal RNA", at positions 569 to 1048 of the family's 1831-position model. The record is from RNAcentral. Lineage: Eukaryota; Fungi; Glomeromycota; Glomeromycetes; Glomerales; Glomeraceae.
AGCGGCCGCGGUAAUUCCAGCUCCAAUAGCGUAUAUUAAAGUUGUUGCAGUUAAAAAGACUCGUAGUUGAAUUUCGGGAUCAAUUUGCUGGUCGUGCCUUCGGUACGCACUGGUAUUAUUGGUUUCUCCUUUCUGAUGAAUCGCGAUGUCAUUAAUUUGGUGUCGUGGGGAAUCAGGACUGUUACUUUAGAAAAAUUAGAGUGUUUAAAGCAGGCUCACGCUUGAAUACAUUAGCAUGGAAUAAUGAAAUAGGACGUUUGAUUCUAUUUUGUUGGUUUCUAGGAUCGACGUAAUGAUUAAUAGGGAUAGUUGGGGGCAUUAGUAUUCAAUUGUCAGAGGUGAAAUUCUUGGAUUUAUUGAAGACUAACUACUGCGAAAGCAUUUGCCAAGGAUGUUUUCAUUAAUCAAGAACGAAAGUUAGGGGAUCGAAGACGAUCAGAUACCGUCGUAGUCUUAACCAUAAACUAUGCCGACUA